This is a long non-coding RNA of Homo sapiens (human), 519 nucleotides long. NCBI's taxonomy places the organism in Eukaryota, Metazoa, Chordata, Mammalia, Primates, Hominidae. The record is from Ensembl.
AAAUAGUCUCCAUAAUCUAAUCUCCAGAAUGCACUAAACCAGGAGAAGAUCCACCUGGAAUGGAAGAAUAUUAAGGAGAACAAGUCCUCAUCUCUCCAAAGACCCUUCAUCCUUCAUUUCACAAUAGUCUUUAUUGGUCUGCUGGAGUUUGCUGGAGGUCCACUCCAGACCCUGUUUGCCUGGGUAUCACCGGCAGAGGCUGCAGAGCAGCAAAGAUUGCUGCCUGCUCCUUCCUCUGGAAGCUUCAUCCCAAAGGGGCACCCGCCUGAUGCCAGCCAGAGCUCUCCUGUACGAGAGAUGCCCUGCCCAGUGAGGAGGAAUCUAGAGAAGCAGUCUGGCCAUAGCUUUGCUGCACUGCGCACUUCUCCUUGCUGCCGCCAUGUGAAGAAGAAUGUGUUUGCUUCCCCUUCCGCCAUGAUUGUAAGUUUCCUGAGGUCUCCUCAACCAUGCUGAACUGUGAGUCAAUUAAGCCUCUUUCAAUUAUAAAUUACCCAGUCUCAGGUAUGUCUUUAUUAGCAG